AGGGGCGUAGCUCAGUUGGCAGAGCACCGGUCUCCAAAACCGGGUGUCGCAGGUUCGAAUCCUGUCGCCCCUGCCA
RNAcentral lists this transfer RNA (76 nucleotides) under Armatimonadota bacterium. RNAcentral's name for it is "Armatimonadetes bacterium (groundwater metagenome) tRNA-Trp". It matches the Rfam family "tRNA". Rfam says of the family: Transfer RNA (tRNA) molecules are approximately 80 nucleotides in length. Their secondary structure includes four short double-helical elements and three loops (D, anti-codon, and T loops). The record is from RNAcentral. Lineage: Bacteria; Bacillati; Armatimonadota.